AGGCAGGUUAUCUGGGCUG
RNAcentral lists this microRNA (19 nucleotides) under Homo sapiens (human). RNAcentral describes it as "hsa-miR-4736". Lineage: Eukaryota; Metazoa; Chordata; Mammalia; Primates; Hominidae. The record is from miRBase by way of RNAcentral.